UACGGAGGGGGCAAGCGUUAUCCGGAUUUACUGGGUGUAAAGGGAGCGCAGGCGGCGUGGCAAGUCAGAUGUGAAAACCCGGGGCCCAACCCCGGGAGUGCAUUUGAAACUGUCUGGCUAGAGUGCAGGAGAGGUAAGUGGAAUUCCUAGUGUAGCGGUGAAAUGCAUAGAUAUUAGGAGGAACACCAGUGGCGAAGGCGGCCUGCUGGACUGCAACUGACGUUGAGGCUCGAAGGCGUGGGGAGCAAACAGG
Molecule: ribosomal RNA, 253 nt
Filed under: uncultured Eubacteriales bacterium
Lineage: Bacteria; Bacillati; Bacillota; Clostridia; Eubacteriales
Description: uncultured Clostridiales bacterium partial 16S ribosomal RNA
Rfam family: Bacterial small subunit ribosomal RNA
Source: RNAcentral